GUUCAGGUAGCUAAGCCGAUUAGAGCAAAAGACUGAAAAUCAUUGUGUCAGUGGUUCGAAUCCACUUCUAACCA
This 74-nucleotide transfer RNA is filed under the name Capsicum annuum. It matches the Rfam family "tRNA". From Rfam's summary of the family: Transfer RNA (tRNA) molecules are approximately 80 nucleotides in length. Their secondary structure includes four short double-helical elements and three loops (D, anti-codon, and T loops). The record is from Rfam by way of RNAcentral. Lineage: Eukaryota; Viridiplantae; Streptophyta; Magnoliopsida; Solanales; Solanaceae.